This 665-nucleotide ribosomal RNA is filed under the name uncultured Micromonosporaceae bacterium. Its description in RNAcentral is "bacterial SSU rRNA". It matches the Rfam family "Bacterial small subunit ribosomal RNA", at positions 136 to 816 of the family's 1533-position model. The record is from RNAcentral. Lineage: Bacteria; Bacillati; Actinomycetota; Actinomycetes; Micromonosporales; Micromonosporaceae.
CUUUGGGAUAACCCUCGGAAACGGGGGCUAAUACCGGAUAGGACCUUGCCUUGCAUGAGGCUUGGUGGAAAGUUUUUCGGCCUGGGAUGGGCUCGCGGCCUAUCAGCUUGUUGGUGGGGUGAUGGCCUACCAAGGCGACGACGGGUAGCCGGCCUGAGAGGGCGACCGGCCACACUGGGACUGAGACACGGCCCAGACUCCUACGGGAGGCAGCAGUGGGGAAUAUUGCACAAUGGGCGGAAGCCUGAUGCAGCGACGCCGCGUGAGGGAUGACGGCCUUCGGGUUGUAAACCUCUUUCAGCAGGGACGAAGCGCAAGUGACGGUACCUGCAGAAGAAGCGCCGGCCAACUACGUGCCAGCAGCCGCGGUAAGACGUAGGGCGCGAGCGUUGUCCGGAUUUAUUGGGCGUAAAGAGCUCGUAGGCGGCUUGUCGCGUCGACUGUGAAAACCCGCGGCUCAACCGCGGGCCUGCAGUCGAUACGGGCAGGCUAGAGUUCGGUAGGGGAGACUGGAAUUCCUGGUGUAGCGGUGAAAUGCGCAGAUAUCAGGAGGAACACCGGUGGCGAAGGCGGGUCUCUGGGCCGAUACUGACGCUGAGGAGCGAAAGCGUGGGGAGCGAACAGGAUUAGAUACCCUGGUAGUCCACGCUGUAAACGUUGGGCGC